RNAcentral lists this long non-coding RNA (201 nucleotides) under Homo sapiens (human). RNAcentral's name for it is "non-protein coding lnc-PSMC5-8:1". The record is from RNAcentral. Lineage: Eukaryota; Metazoa; Chordata; Mammalia; Primates; Hominidae.
ACCUGGCUGGAAGGGAUGGAACACACGCUCACCUGCGUCCCAAAGGGAAACCCAGCUCCAGCCUUGGUGUGUACCUGGAAUGGGGUGGUCUUUGACCUUGAAGUGCCACAGAAGGCAACCCAGAACCACACUGGAACCUACCGCUGCACAGCCACUAACCAGCUGGGCUCUGUCAGCAAAGACAUUGCUGUCAUUGUUCAA